This 77-nucleotide transfer RNA is filed under the name Kordiimonas sp. SCSIO 12603. RNAcentral's name for it is "tRNA-His". It matches the Rfam family "tRNA". Rfam says of the family: Transfer RNA (tRNA) molecules are approximately 80 nucleotides in length. Their secondary structure includes four short double-helical elements and three loops (D, anti-codon, and T loops). RNAcentral also lists the same sequence under 1 other name. Lineage: Bacteria; Pseudomonadati; Pseudomonadota; Alphaproteobacteria; Kordiimonadales; Kordiimonadaceae. The record is from RNAcentral.
GCGGGUAUAGCUCAGUUGGUUAGAGCACCAGAUUGUGAUUCUGGGGGCCGCCGGUUCAAAUCCGGUUACUCGCCCCA